AUGGCGGAUCGGCACGGCGAGGGCGGCGUGGCCUCGGCGCGGCGGCCGGGGCGCGCGGACCUGGACGACCAGUCGACGACGCUGCUGCAGCGCGUGCAGGCGCACCUCCCGAACGCGACGCAGGUGGUGGGCCUGCUGACCCUGCUCGUCGCCGGCGCGGCGCUGCUGGUGCUGGCGGGGCUGACGUUCACGGGCGCGGUGGUGGCGCUCGUCUUCCUCGGCCCGCUGGCGCUGCUGACCAGCCCCAUCUGGGUGCCCUUCUCCUUCGCGCUCCUGGUCGUGGCCGUGGCGGCGCUCUCCUUCGUGGGCUUCGCCGUGGCCGCGCUCGCCGCGGCCACCUGGGCGUACCGGUACUUCACGGGGCGGCACCCCGUGGGCGCCGACCGCGUGGACCGCGCCCGCAGCCGCCUCGCCGACACCGCCAGCCACGUCAAGGACUACGCCCGCCGCGAGUACGGCGGCUACCUCGGCAACCGCACCAAGGACGCCGCCCCCGGCGCCUAG
Molecule: ribosomal RNA, 504 nt
Filed under: Triticum aestivum (bread wheat)
Lineage: Eukaryota; Viridiplantae; Streptophyta; Magnoliopsida; Poales; Poaceae
Description: partial small subunit ribosomal RNA
Source: RNAcentral